RNAcentral lists this unclassified non-coding RNA (1566 nucleotides) under Neodiprion lecontei (redheaded pine sawfly). RNAcentral describes it as "diphthine methyltransferase, transcript variant X2". Lineage: Eukaryota; Metazoa; Arthropoda; Insecta; Hymenoptera; Diprionidae. The record is from RNAcentral.
GGCUACCUCCAGUAGUACAAUAGUACAUGCUCUAACUUCUGUAAAUUAUACGUCUGCUAGUUUUCCAGUCCAAAAUUCGAAUGUCGCGGCGUGUUAUGAAGAAUAUAAUACAACCUUGCUUGAGAUUGUGAAUAUUCAUGUUCAUUUCUGGUGAUUUAUUAUUGCUAUCCGAUUUUGGAUGUUUACUUGUGUAUUGCUGUGCGUAGUACCUUGCCUUCUCAUUCCCGGGUUUCGUGGAUAGAUGAAAUCUGUUAAAGAAUUAUCUUACGAAUCGUCUUGGACGUAUGAAAUUGUCACGUUUGAAACUUUUCGUGUAUAAGAAAUAUGUUUCCAAUGUGUUUUACGACGCUGGAUACGUUUGAUACAGAAUUUUCUGCAGAUUCUGUGGAAUGGUGUCCCAUCGAACCGUUUACCGAUGUGUUUGUAUGCGGUACAUAUCAAUUCUCCAAUACUGAAGUUGGAGGUGAUACGGAAAAUACAAAGUGCCCGAACCGUCUUGGAAGGAUUUAUCUAUUCCGUGUGAAAAAUAGCGGAAAACUGAACUUGUUACAGCAUUUGAAUGUUCCAGCUGUGUUAGAUAUGAAGUGGAUGCACGUAAAAAUGAAUCACAAAAUACUACUCGGUGUUGCCAAUGCAUCGGGCUGCAUACAAAUCUAUGAACUGUCGGAUGUGAAUAAUAUAUCAUUGAAAUUAUUCACAGAACAAAAAAUCAACCCAGAUCAUGGUGAAAUAUUAGCAUUGUCUUUGGACUGGUCAUCCGGAGUAUUAUGUAACAACGCGGAUCAAGAUGUGAAGGCUGUGGUCAGUGAUUCGCAUGGUUCUAUUUCAAUCUUCGAAUUUCGUGGCGAAAGUUUAGUGAACAAGUAUUUGUGGAAUGCUCAUGGCUACGAAGCAUGGAUUGCAGCGUUCGAUUAUUGGAAUACUAAUAUCAUAUACACUGGUGGAGACGAUUGUAGACUUCAAUGGUUCGACAUAAGAAUGGGUACACAACCAGCUGGAAAUAAUAGAAUACAUGGCGCUGGGGUUACAAGUCUCCAUAGUAAUGCAGCUCAAGAAUUUACAUUGGCUUCUGGAAGUACCAUCCUCAAUCGCUCAACAAUGACCCGCUGGGCAUCGUUCAGAAAGGCCGCCAAACUCUUGUGGUACAGAUUUGUGACAACCCCUGUUCGGAUCCGGUUGGCAAAAGUACUAUCGACAUCAUCCGUCUGUAUAUCCGCAGGACUGCUGAUAUUACCACCCGUCACUAGAGCUUGCUGCUGCUGCUGUUGCUGCCGCAGCUGUUGCUGGAUCUUCCGUCACACAGGAUUGCACGAGUGAGAUUGUGUGUUGAAUCUGUAGUUUCGUACCCACGCUCGUUCUCAGACGCAUGGAAACAUCACACAGCAAUUAAAGAUUUUGCAUUCCAACGUCAAUCGAAUGUUCGAAGAUGUCGUCAUUCUCUCACUCAGGAUGUAGCUCGCUCAACAAAUUCUACGACGAAAUCUUGAGAUUAUGGGAUGUGCGAAAAUUGCGUAAUCCAGUUUCCGAGCUGAAUCUCAACGGUGGUAUCUGGCGUUUGAAAUGGGA